GACGUAUUCGUACACUUCUCAGCAAUCAACCAAGAAGGCUACAAGUCUCUUGAAGAAGGUCAAGCAGUUGAAUU
RNAcentral lists this unclassified non-coding RNA (74 nucleotides) under Jeotgalicoccus saudimassiliensis. RNAcentral's name for it is "cspA". The record is from RNAcentral. Lineage: Bacteria; Bacillati; Bacillota; Bacilli; Caryophanales; Staphylococcaceae.